UGCUGCCUCUAAAAGCAGCAUUUUAUUACCCCUGUAUCAGAAUGAGAGCAUGGCCAUGUCAGAGCUCAGCUGAUCUCUCACAGCUUUUCCACUCAGCAGAGCUGAUUUUGAGAACUCUGCAAGUGUUUCUCAGGCACAUCUGUAAUUUGCAGUGAAGCCUUGUAUGAAGAAACUUGAAGAAAGGCUGCCCUGAGAUGAUAAAUCAGGGCCAGAAAUCUGAGAUAAUUGUAGGAUCUAGGACCCACUGGGAUCAGCUCUUAUUUCAGUAGAAUGUGCUCCUUACAUGGACCUGAUUCUGCAGAUGCAGAGGGUGGAAAAGAGCCCAGAAAUUAGUCACAGACACCAAUGUUUUCUUACUGCAGACAGAGAAUUUCCACAGCAGGCAGGUGACUAAUUGGAGUUUCACAGGUGAAGGUAGUGCAUGCAGGAAAGCCUUGUCUGCUCACAGAGUACAAGUACAGCAUCCUCAUCCUCGUGGUGAGGCUCCCACCAGUGCAGGGGAUGCUACAGAAGAGCUCUAUUUCAGAGGGGUUAUAGCUGGGCGCUGCAGCUUUCAGGUGGCAAAGCCGGCAGCUCUGGAGGCAGAGUCUGCAGGCUGGAAAAACACUCACCUGCCUUCUGGCCAAGCAGGCAGCUCCUAAAGCCACCCAGGCUCCUGCUGCUGCUCACUGGUGAGAAGGAAAAAGCUGGGAUGCUGCCCUUAGAGGCAGACAGCAGGAAAAGUGGUGUCAGUGGAUGGGAUAACUGUGACCUCUGAAAUGACAAGACUGGUGAUAAAUAAAAUUUAACAAUUUUCUUCAAAUAUAAAUAGAUUUUAAAAAUAUGCAUACAUCUAUCUAUACAAAGAAAAAUAAAUACAUUGAUAACUUCUGUCAUGGAAAAAAAUUCUUUAGACUCAAAUGCUUUAGUCAUUUUUAGUAGAUUUUUUGUUGCUUGAAGUGGCAACUGUUGUUGGCCCAGGGUAGUCUGGGAAGGUCAUUGUACGUCGUGCAAAGAAAGGCUAGGCACAGCACCCUUUAAUUUACAUGGACAAGCUUGGUUGAAUCACUGGGGAAGCCAUGAGUGAUCUAUUCACAACCAGGGACUUUUAAUAUAUUAUGCUCUUCAUAUAUAUUACGAAUGUGUGUGGCCCUCUAAUUACCAUCCAAUCAUCAGAGCAUCAAAGUGUCUUACUUUGUUUACAGUCCUGAAAAACCAGAGUCAGGUUUUAUGAGCCUGACAAUAUAUCCUCUUUUUUUGUUUAUAUUAUGUGAUUUAUUUUUAAUCAUAUAAGAAGAAACUUUCUACAUAAUCAUUGCAAUAAACCUUUUGUGAGUCUUUUAGAAAAUUAUUUUGUACUUGCACUGCUU
This is a long non-coding RNA of Zonotrichia leucophrys gambelii, 1349 nucleotides long. RefSeq lists it as uncharacterized. NCBI's taxonomy places the organism in Eukaryota, Metazoa, Chordata, Aves, Passeriformes, Passerellidae. The transcript has 3 exons. The record is from RefSeq and is a predicted model, not a curated record.